GUGAGAAAAACUAAGUACAGCCAAGAAAGAAAACUGUUUAUUUUAGCUUUUAAAUCUUGUUUAUAACAAUUUAACCUUUUCAGCCAUUCUGAAAAUUGCCAAAAUAUGGAUGGGGAAUGCAGCCAGACAUUUGCCAUGGGGUUUUUCCCAUGAUCACCUUGUACAGCUACAAUAAAUUCCUAUGGAAUCUCCUGGAGAUCACAGUGGGAACCAGCUGGAGAAAGCUGCAGUGAAUGCCAGAGCACUGCAUACUGAUGGGAGUUGGAUGUGCAAGUGUUCUCCCUCCACUAAACAAUGUCUAGUGGAGUCUCAUAUUCAUUUAUUACAACUUUGUAAUUUGACCUUGACAGCUUGUAAAUUUUCAGGACACUAUUCUUAAAAGCAAUUCAGUUGUGUUAGGCUUUCAAAUCACUGGUUUCAUGACUGGACUUUAUGGGCAAAGGUACAUGUUUCAAAUAGCUUUUGUGUAAAAUCCCUGCAGGCUAUGCCAAAGGCAAACUAAUGACCACUGGUGGAGCUGCAAAUGGAAUCGGAUAAUAUAUUGAUACCAGCAGUAAACAGUAUUCGAUUUUAACAGCAACUAGUAUAGAAUAACAUGUCUAAUUUAAUUGAUGAACCUAAUUUAAACAUUGGAGAGACUUGACACAGAAAAACUAGUUGCUGUGUUGUUCCUGCACUUUUAUUUUCUGCCCAUCAGAAAAGAGGAAGGAUGUUACAGCAGUUCAUGUUAAUUUGUUCAUCUGCUUAUGCUGUUGGUAUUUCUUGCCUGAUCAUGGCACUUUUGCAAGUAAUUCUAGCUGCUCUUAAUCCUGAUUCAAAUAAACAAUUGAUUUUCUUCUUAUAAUUUAUUAUCAUUGAUCAGAGUGCAAAUAACACAUUUUUGCUUUUUGCACUUUGUACAGCCAUAGCUAAAGUUACCAACCUUUUUCUAUUUCUCUCUGCAGGGAAGACCUGUGGCUCCAGAAGUGCAAAUUCUCUUUCUUUGUGAGCAGCUUUGCCCACACAAGUAAAUCAAGUAAGUAAAUUCACAUGCUCAAGACCUUGGGACAAGCUGGGACCAGGAUGAUUGUGUACAGCUCAACUCAAAAGUUUCUAAUUAUCUUUUUCCUUGUGGUAGACAUUUUUAAAGAUUUUCAAACUAUUUAUAUUAAUAAUUGAGAAAGCUGAGGGUCUGAGCCUGCCUGAACUGCAGUUCUAGUAUAAUUUUGAAAGAGAACAAGGGGUCUUUACUAGGAACAAACAAAAAUAUCUAGAUUUCUUUUUUUGGGGGUAUUUGAAUGAUGACCUUAUGAAGUAUAUUGAAAUGAAAGAAACAUUGUCCAAAGAUUUUGUACAAAAUAAAAUAAGCAUUAGUAACUUCUGACUCAUUUUCAGGCUUUAUAGGCCUGUCUUGCUUUACGUGUACCUUUGCUAAAUGAAAAUGGUCACUAUAUUGUUGUAAAACCUAGUUAAAUGGGAAAAUUUCACUCUGGUAAACACUGAAAGACAAAAUGUGCCAUAAAACAUAAAUAUAUUCACUAGGAAAUACCUUUUAUUGACUUAUAAGAAAAAUAUUUCUGACUUUUAUAGGAAGAAUAAUAUUAAUGCUUUUUAUUUUUUAAUAUUCCUUUGUGCUGGUUAAGUGUGGCUUUUGCCUGGCUUUCGGUAUCAAACUUCUCCAAGAACUCCAAAUCCUGUACAGAACUAGAAUCCCCCCAGUCACUGAGAGUGAAAGGGAGGAGGUGUUUGACUUCUGUGACCCCCAAAUAAGGGAUCAGUCAGGCUUCCAAGAGCAGCCCCUUCCUCCAGCUGAGUUGGAAUUGUGUUUGUGGGUCAAGAUGAUGUUGAUGAACAAAGCAGCACUGCAGAACAAUCAAACCCUGCAUCAGCUGCUCCCAUGGCAUUUUUGGUGGGCAACAUUUUUCUUAGUGAGGCUCUUCUGUGUGUGCUUGGAUACCUGCAAAGCCCAGCAAUGCCAGGGGAUUCCUGAGCUUUAGCAAAGUAGCUUUUAACAAAGCAUUUGCAGAUAAAGUUAGGUUUGUUAAAUCAGAAAAGGGGUAACAAAGAUCUUGAUGACCAUCUGGUUUUAAUGAUAGCAGGAACUGGCACAGGAAUGGGAAUUCUCCUGCAAUGCUUCACUUAUAGGAUCAGAAUUUUCUGACCAAAAAAAAAAAAAAAAAAAAAAAAAAAAAAAAAAACUUAGAUUAGGGAAAUUCUUUUAUAGCUCUACUAUUUCUGUUUCCCAAACUGUGCCUAAUGAAAAGACAGAUGACAAUUAUUUCCGUUCUGAAAAUUGGAAUUUGCAACACUCAGAGUCUUUUUCCCUUCACAAAUCUACACUGAGAUAUUGAUAAUCGGGAUACUGAUACAUAUAUGCUAUUUGAGACAACACUUAAAACCACAAGUAUUUCAGGCUUAGUAGCAGUAAAAAAAAAAAAAACAAAAAUUACUCUGAAUCAUCAAUAGCUGAAAGUAGAAAUUCUUUGCAUGCAUGCUGAGAAAAAAUAGAUUUGGAGUGGAAACAUUUUUGACAAGUAUGAGUCUAACAGUAUUUGAAGUAGAUGAGAUAUUGAUUCCCCAAAAUAAGUAAAUAAAUUCAAAUGCCCAACCAUUUUAAACUUCAAAACUAUCUGCAAAGUUAACAAUGUCACACUUAGAAAACUGAUAACAAAAAAUGUCCUUUCUAUACAAUUGCCAUGAAAAAUGAUUUCUCUCAGUUUUCCUUUCUGAGGACAGUAGCAGGCAUGGCUGGAGAAAAAGUGCACAACCUCAGGAGUGGUUCCUGGACUUUGAGGUCCAGGUCAGAUCAAUUUGAUAAACAAAGAUGUUAAAAAAUCUGCAGUUAGUGUCCAGACUGGCUACUAAAAUAGCAACAACAGCAAAAAAACCAACAAAAAAAAUCCAAAACCUCCAUCAAAUCUCACUCAGGCUGGAGUUUCAACCCAUUAACUGGACUGUCCCUGGGAAGUGAAUACAGUUAAUUUGGUAGCACACACUCGAUGAGAGAAAUGAGGAGAUGUGUUCAGACUGACAGCGGGUCUGAGCAGUGCUGCACGCUCCGUGUUCUCCAGCAGUGAAUCUGUUCCAGCCCACAAAGGUGUGUUCAAGCCCUAAGCUGGUGUCCUUUGCCUUUCAGCUGCAUUUUGUGCCUCACACCAAGCUCCAUGCUCUCGGGCUGUAAAGCUCAAAAGGAGCUGUUGGCACCUAGCUGCCCUGGCUCGUGGCAGCAGCACUUUUAUUAGCAUUUUUAUUAUUCCUCUGCAGGAUCCCACUGCUCAUGCAGAGUUUGUGUGCAAUAACUCAGCUUGCAGCUAGGCAGUGAUUUGGAUUCAGCAGCAGCUCUGAUUUGAAAUCCAUGAGCCAACAGCCCUGUAGGUCACAGCUGCCCUCAGCUCUGCAAGGCUCAGUGCUGCUUCAUUCCUGCCCCCAAGGGCUCAGCAAACUCCAAGCACAUCCCCAGGUGUGCAGAAAUGUCUCCAUAUACGUUCUCAAAAUCUUAAAAAAAAAAAAAGUAGGUGCAAGUAUAGACAUAAAUGAAAGGUUUCAAUUAAGACCUUAGAACAGACGAGACUUAUCAGAACAAUAAAUAGUAACAGUGGUAAUUCACAUGUCCUCUGAACAGAAAGAGACUUGGCUUUCUCAGGAUUUCUCCUGAAAGAAGCUGUGAGAGAAGAAGAGAAAAAAGAAUAGAAACAAUUCUUAUUUCAUUUGCUACUCCCUGGAAUGAGGAAUGUGAUCUGGGGAUUGUUUAGCCAAGGUGAUUGCUUGAUUGGAGUCUGGUGAGGGCGUUUUGGGUUCAUUGACCAACUGGAUCCACGUGUGUGUCGGGACUCUCAGGAGAGAGUCAUGGGCUUUCUAGUUAGUUAGAAGUUAUAUAGUUCUUGUUAGUGUAACAUAUUUUUAGUAUAAUACAGUAUAAUAAAGUAUAAUAAUAAAUAACAAAGGAUACAAUAAUAAUAUAAUAAAGUAUAAUACAGUAUAAUAAAAUAAAAUAUAAAUUAGUCUUCUGAAAUCAUUGGAGUCCUGCACAUCAUUCUUCCCACUGGCCGGGCAUCGUAGCACCAAUAAGUAGCUACAACCAAAUUUGCCUUACAUCCUUUGAAUAGACCAAAUCUUUUAUAGCAUUAAAAUUGCUGGAGUGUAAAAUAGCAACACUUAAAGCAAGCAAGAAAAGUGCCAUAAGCAAAAAGAGCUACACUGAGUAGUGAGAGACUUUAAAUUUUGCUGAUGGGCCUUUGUGUAGAAAACUUGUAACGCUGUUUUGCUAAAUAAAAAAAUAUGUACUAUAGUAGGGCUAUGUAACACAAAGUAGUUAAUAAAUGACAAAGUUAAGAGAGUUUCUUUGCAGUUGUACUGAGAGGGGGAAUUGUGGGAAACAUAGUAAAGGUAAGAAGACUUUCAGAAGGAUGUGAAAGCAGGCCUCAUAGAAAGAGCAGAGAACUUAGAGCUGCUAAGUCAGAAAGUAGGAAAGUUACAAUAGUACAGCAAGCAAGGACAUGAAACAAUAGAUUGAGUUUUAGGCUUGGCUAAGAUAGACCUUAAGACUGCAGAAAAAUAUGCUUAGCAAGAUAGUAGAAGGUUUCAAGCUUAAUAAUGAAGUAUUGUGUAUUGUUAAUAGAAAGAAGACAAGCAAGCAUUGUGUGAAGUAGGUGUACAUGUGCUUUUAGUGAUUAGCUAGAACAAUUGACUGUAAGCUUUAGCAAUAUGCUAUUGGCUAGAAAGUUUUUUAAAUGAUCUGUAACAGAGAAAUCUUUGGCAGAACAUGAGCAAUUGUCUCAACCAUGUAAUGAGGCUGAUGCUGCAAUAAAGCUCAAGGAACUUAUCCCAGCAGUCCCCUCCUGUUUGUGCAAACCUCCAACACAUAUAUCUGUCAGUUCUCCGACCAGAGCUCAGGGUUGGGAUGGAAAGAAGGGGAAAGGAGGGAGAGAGAGAGAAUGAAAAUUGCCAAUAAAGCUCAGUAAUGUGAGAGGGACAUAUCAUGUAGCUGAGCUGAAAGGCUCAAUUAGUUCUCCCAGGUUUAUUUCAUUCAAGGACUGCAGAAGCAUUUCAGCUGCAGCACCAAGAGCAACCAGGAGGCUUUGCAGGAGCAGGUUUUGGGAGCAGGGGAGCUGCAGGGGUGGCUUCUGUGAGAAGCUGCCAAAAGCUUCCUCCAUGUCCAGCAGAUCCAGUCCCUGGUGGCUCCCAGGGUGGGCGUGCUGCUGGCCAAGGCUCAGCCCAGCAGGAAUGGUGGGAAUGCCUCUGUGAUAACAGAGUUAAUAAGAAGAAAAAGUUGUUGCUCAGAUGUAAUUGUGGCCAGAGAAGAGCAGGAUGAGAACAUGUGAGAGGAACAGCCCAGCAGACACCCAGGUCAGUGCAGAAGGAGGGGUAGGAGGUGCUGUGCUCCAGCUGAUAACUGGUCAAAGAUGAGACCUGAUGAUCAUAGAGGAUUUUUCUAACUUGAAUUAUUCUUUAUUACUAAGUUUAGUUAUUUAGCAAACUGAACAUAAUAUACAAUGAAAGAGAAAGCAGUUUUGAAUCUUAAAAAUGUCAUCUCUUCUAAAUUAAAAGCACAGCCCUGGCCUAUACAAAAGUAUAAGAUGUCACAGAAAGACAAGCAAGUGUUGUGGAAAGAUAUACCUGUAUGCAAAUAUAGUGCAGGUUAUGUGGAAAGACAAAAGUAAAUCAAAUAAAAUCCAUUUAAAAUAUAAACUACCACUGCAGUUCUUCUGGAGAAGGGGUGGAUAAGGAGCAGGAGGAAUAGAAUUAAAAUGUGAACCACUUCUAAAUCCCUCCUUGUGGCCUUGAGUUCACUCUCCACUUGUUAGGGGUGUGUGGUAUUGAUUUCCCCGCCCUGGCAGGCCAUUAUGGAUGAAGCAGAGGUGCACUCUGACAUGCUCAGUGCUGGGAAUUGUGAGCAGCCUUUUGAAAUGUUCCUACCAGGUGGCUGCAGCUUUGCAAACCACCUGCUGCAAGGCUGAGCCCUUCUGGCUCUGCUUUGGGCAGACUUCUGGAUUUAGCUUAUCAAUAGGCUAUCAGUGUAUCCAGGGACUUGUUUAGAUUGUGUCUGAUAAAAAUGGAAAGAAAAAAAAAAGGACAAGAAUUUGCAUUUAUGAACUUGGAAAACAAAGUUAAUAAGCGGAGCUGAAUAGUUCCUACAGAGCCCUGUGAAGGUUCUGUGGCCGCGGUGAAAAAUCCAGAGUUCACACUUACACGCUUAAAUUUGAGUGUACUGUAAGACACCUGAUGAAUCAUGCCCUUGGAAUAUAAAAGCUUUCUGUUGACUUUUUCUCCCUUCAGCUCCAAAAAUUGAAGUUGCUGUAUCUCAGUUUCUGACAUGUGGUCUUCUCAGAAAUACAUUUUCCCAAAAAGAGAGUUAAGGCAGGCAAGCAUUUCAGGUAUUCUUCUUCAAUAAUCUCUCAUGAAAAACUACAAAUUUUCUGUCAUUGACUCACUGUAAAGCAACUCUGGAUUUAUUGUGGCUAGUAAGCCUCAAGGAUAAGUACACGUUCAAUUGUGAAAUAUGAAACAGAAAUGAAAAAGGAAAAAUAUCCAUCCAAAACAUAUCAGCAAGCACUGGCUAUCAAACCAGGGCUACUGUGUGUCAGAGUGUGGUUUUCUGGGAGUGUGCUGGUAAAUGGUCUCUGUAUAGAGAUUUUAUAAAGUACAACUCAAAGUAGGACAAUGAGCAGGCAGAAUAAUAGGGAUUUUUUUUUCUUCAUCAGAAUUGGAGGAAUGUAAAAAAGAGAAAUCUGACACUUUUUUGGUUUGUUAAGUUUUUGUUUCCUUGAAGAGUAGGAAUCUGUCUCUCUGGCUUGUUGCCUACAUCUUGCUACAAUGCACAACAUUUUAAUUACAUGGUCUCUUUGCAGGCACUUCAACUCUGAUGUAUUUCAGAAGGUUUUAUACCUUUGAAAAGCUGGUGUUCAGCAUCUUCACAUCCACUAGAUGUCACUCAAUAGUCAUAAUUUCCAGCAGUGACACAACACACACAUACCCACACACAAAAAAAAAUAAAAGGCAAAAAAUAUUUUUUUUCUUCAGACUCAAAACAAAUUUCUUUCAAAAAAUUUUAUUCACUGUUUAAAGUUAAUGUGUGGUGUCUGAAAGGUUUUCAUCAUCACUUCAAAAAUUAAAACUUUUAGAUUAUUCCAUUAGAAGCCCUGGUUGCCACCUGGAAUUUAUAUAUUCCUUUAACAUAGUUCUUUCAAAGAGAAAAAUUGAAAAGGUAAUUUUCAAGGUGGUGGACUUGAUGUUAAUGGAUAAUUGUGCCUCUGGACCAUGACCACACAACAUUUUGAUCUGCGUGAUGCCUAAUGAUAUUUAUCUUCAGUGAUAUUUUUUAGCUUUUAUGUCUAUACUCUGUGGGGUUUUGCCCUUAGGAGUUGCAUUGAAUCCAUAACCCCCAAAACAGCCAGGAUGGAUGGAAUUUCUCUUACUCUGCUUGCAGUGGUGAGUUUUUACCUGGGCAUUCUCUAGCUCCCAAUUCCAGUUCUUACAUGCUGUCAGAACCACAAUCACAUCACAAUGCAGCAGGCUUUUCUUCAGAAACUAAACAAAGAAAAAAAUUUCUAGCCCUCAAAAGAUUUCCUUGUCUUUUUCCGCACUUCCUCGAGCUUCCUGGAGACAGAUGAGAGGAGGACCAGGGGAGUCCCUGAAGAAUCCACCAGACUCUGGAUGCCCAGAGGGGGCACUAAGGGAAAGUCAGGAAGGAUCUCAGCAAAUCUCACUGAAGACUUAAAGCAGUAGCCCCCAAGGAAGCACAGCCUGAGGCCACAGGAUACAACAACUGGAAGUGCACAUCAUUUUAAUCCAAACCACAAAACUGCAUUUGCUCUCAGCAUAAGGACUUUAUAAUCAACACAGAUGCGAAGACAUCCAUAUAAAGAAUCAGAAAAUCUGAAACCAAAUUUUCAGUGACCGCCACAAGGCUUCUCUCAAGACAAGACUCAGCUACCACCCCUGGGGACCCUGAAAGCUCACACCAGGUUGUUCCCUGUGCAAGGGAUGAGAUCCAGACUAAUCCUGGCCAGGUAACCACAGCAAGCACACACAGGCAAGCUCUUCACAGGUCCAGACACCAGAGGGGGAAGACACUUCACAAAAUAAUUGCAAAUGUAAUUUCUCAGGACACCCUUCUUUCCCACCUCCCACCUCCUUUGGAGCAAUGUGGCAGAGCCACACUCUGUGAAAUAAGUAUCUCAGACCAGAGAGACUUCUCAAUCUGUGCUUAUCUUAGGUAGCUAUUUCUAAUCUUAAAGCCUGUAAUAGCAGACCAUCAAAUUUCCCAUUGUUUUUAGAGAACUCGGAGAAGAAAAAAAUUAAUUCAAAAUUCAAACAUAUAAGUGUUCCUAACAGCUUUAAGAGGAAGGACUUCAGCCUCUAAAUUAACUCAAAACCUACAAUAAUUACACAAAAUGGAUUAGAAUAUUAUGAAAACCUGAAUUGUCUUCUUAAGAACUGCAAAAUUGAUUAUAAAGGAGAUGUUGUCAAAAGGACUACUCUGCUAAAAGUCUUUCUUUUAAAAGGCAACAGGUUGGUGAGCACAAAUUCAAAGCAGCUUUUAAGGAGCACCCUGAAACUCUUACACUGCUGAUCUUUGUACAUAGGCAACAGAGAUCCAUACAAUAGGGAGUGCUUGAUGCUAACUAGUGUUAAAAGGAUAGUUCUAAAAUUUAGAUUUACGGAUGAUUUCAUUAGUUGGUCACUGAGCAAGGUGUACAGCAGAUAUUAAAAGUCUAUCUGUACUCGAACUACAAAAGAAAAUCUCCUAAUCCUUCUUUUGGUUAGGCAAAUGUGUAUCUUUUUUUCCAUACUCUGCAUCUUUGCAGCAGUAAGUGGCAAGGGUAAUUAAGUAGUAGUUAGGAAUCUGCUGAGUGUUGCAUGUCCUUAAUGUGCUUUACGGAAAUUCUAGCAUUACAGAUGCAUAGCAUUCCUAUUACUUGAUAAUUGCAUUUUAAAAUCUGGCAUUUUAAUUAUGCUAAUAUGCAUGGGGUUAUAUUUUAAAUUUAGUACCUUAUUUUAUGUUCCAAGUGCUAUAAGUUCUUGCCCUUAGAUAAGUAAAAUUUCAUGGGAAUCAGAACUGUAACACCCCAUCAUUUUAUCCUCAUACUCUAAUUAGAUGCUGACAUUGGUUAAAUGAGUUAAAUCGACUAUGUUGGUUUUGUGUGUGUUUUGUCAACUCAAAGCAAAUUUAAAUUAAGAGCCUUUAUGAGAAUUCUGCACUCCUUCUGGCAUGAGGCAUUAUCAUAUCAUAAUAGAUGCAAUUUAAAAGAUUAUAUCACUCCUAAUUCAUUCUCCCAGUUGUUUAGGAGACAAAUUUGGGCCCAUCAGUUUGAGUCGAAUGUUCUGUCUCUUGUCUCAGCUAUGUAAGUAACCAAGUAACUCUCAGUGAGUUGCUCUUAAAAUCUGAACACAGGCAACUGCAGGAUGCUGUGGCGGGAGCUGUGUUUUCAAAAUGGACAGGUGGCCCAAAUUGCAGUUCAAAUUCUGAAACACCUGUCCUAAGAAACAAGCAAAUAAGCCCCCUUUUCAGAACAGGGGUGCUUUACAUUUUCUAGAAAUUCACAGUUCUCUCCAUUUUCUCAAGUCAGGCGGCCAAAAUGAUUAGUUUCAAAAGCUUAGGCUAAAAUGUAAUUAAAAGUGAAAUUCUUAGAACUGAUUAUCCUUCUUAAAAUGGCUUACAUGUUCACAAACACUGGCUCUAGGCUGUACUCCGCUAUCUACUUUUAAAAUCUGCCUAUAACCUACAGCUGAAAAAUAAAUUGGGACAAUCAAUUAUGUCCUGUCUGUUUUAAUUCUGCAAUUGUAUCAAAACAGAUGGAUGAAUAAAGAUGAUUUGGCAACAAGAGUGUGGCACCACUUCAGAGGAUCAGGAACCUUCAAAGGUGAGAGGAAGGGCAAGAGAAGGGAAACUUACUCUUCUAUAUAAAUGUAAGAAAAGCAACAUACCAUAAUUCUGUGGCAGUUUUAAUCAUACUAAAAAACAUUAUUAGUCCCUCUAGGUAAGAAGGAGUUGAAAGAAAGUAAAUGAAAGCAGGGAAAAGUGGCUAGAAAGGGAGGAUAGUGAAAAACAAGAAAACACUCUGAAUAGCAAAAACACCACCCAUCUAAGUGAUUGAUGAAUUCAAAUACGACACAAAGAAAAAAUAGAGAAAAGCCAUUCUGAGCGAAAGUAGAUAUUGAAGUUUCAAGUUGCUUUUAACAAACUCAUCACCAGCUCUGAAGACCACUUAGCAUAUGGAAGACUGUACUUCAUUGGAAGCAAUUGCUUGUCUACAAGAGGUGCUUAACCAAAUGAAGCUAAAUCAACUUCUGCCAUCAAGUCUGCCAAAUAAAAGGAUUUAUUUGCUCAGAGUGCAGACCAGCUGAGUUUAGCAGAAGCUCAUGAGUAGUAAUCCGCAGAACAGUUCACAUACCAGCUUCUGAGAAUCCACCCCAGCAAAACACACAGCCCUUGUGACAGCUGUAUUUGAAUUAGAUUUAAACCCUUGGUUUGACUUGCAGAAGAGAGAAUUGGUGAUGAAAGAAAUGUUGGCAGUCGUUGUUUUUUGAGCUGCUGGAGUGAAGCAGGAUUGCCCCUGGGAUCCUGGAGAUAAGAACAAGAGAAUAGCACAAUAGACAAGUGAACCAAAGCCCAGCUAAAGCAAGGACUACAUCUCAGAGAAGCACUGAAGAUGCCACUUUUGCCAGGCAAUUCCAGGGAAAUUGGGAGAAGAACAGUGAUGUUCUGGGAUGAACAAGGAUCCUGAGCAAGGAUGUUACUGGAAUUCUGCAGUGACUCGGCUCAGAGUUCAAUCCCCAUUACCCACAGGUGCCAGGUUGAGAUCAUCACACUGAACAGAAACAGCUGGCCAGAAUCAAACACAAGCAGAAAGAAAUUAUGUUUGCAAGAGAAAAUAUCCUUUCUGGGAAGCAGUUGCUGCAGAGCUGUAUCCAGCGGUUGAGGGAGUGUACCAAGAGAUCCUGAAGGACAGACCACAAGUUCAGGACCUGCAUUCCUGUCUGAUAGACUGCACUGCCUGUAAGAGACCAUGGUAGGUCAGAGAGCCAUCAACUCCUCACCAACAAAGAUCUGACUCCAAUUACACCAGUUCUUGUCUUUCCGUACAAGAUUACAGAUGUAGAAUUUAACAGAGUGAGAAAUAACUAACCUCAAAACAAACUGCAAAACCUGAGAUUUUCUCCUGUUGCUUCUCCAAAAAUCCUGAAUUUUAAGUCUUUCCUUUCAUGACAGCCUUCAAGGUUAGGCCUGGGUCCACCCAUGCACUCAAGUUUUUCAUUGUAUUCUCAUUUGCUAUCAGAAGCUCUAUUUGGCACUGACAGCACUUGAGUAGAUGUGCUUCAUCUUUGCCAGGCUCAGGACAAAUUCCAUGGAAUUCAGUGACAGCUGAAUCCAUGCUGACAACAGCCCUAAGGCACUCACACUUUGGUGGGUCUGUACAGACACACAGCCAGAUCUCAAAAAAAAGCAAUCAGGUAAGUAAACACCUCAGCAACUUUUCUAAGGAAAGAAAUGGCAACAGAACUUUGUCAACUGGAUUGACUUUAAAUUGGCCAACAGAGGUCAUCUGGUUCAUUUCGAGCUGGGGAGAACACUCAGAUACUUCCGUGGUAAAGACAAGACAUUGCAUAGAAGAGGAUUUUUAACUACAGGUUUUGGCUGUCAGGCUGAACUACAUUUUUUUGUUAAACACCAGGUUGUGAGGAAUUUGAAGUCCAUAACAGGUGGCAGCAGGAACCUAGGACUCCAGUGUUGAAUUUGUUGCAUAUUCACUUUCUGAGAUUUAAGGGCACAAAGGAAGCACUAAAGAAAGUCAGGCUUGCCUGACAAAGCUGUCAAUGCUAUAUGCAGUAAAGGUGUAUACAUGACUGUAUAACAUGUGUGAAAUAAUAAAAUAAUAGGUAGUCUUAACAUAGGUUUUUCUCCCACCCUAAAGCACAGGCCUUGGGAAGAAAAGAAUGCACAUUAACCACAUAUUCCAGGAAAGAACUUCCUCUAGAUCCCAAGAGUUUUUGCUUGUAAAUUUGGAAGAUGAAUAUCCAAUUCCCAAUGGACUGCUUUAAAAAAUUCAGUUGCUAAGAAAAUAAUAACAAAAAUCAGGGACUCCAAGCCUGCACUUAAAGGACCUUAGCCGUCAACUGACAAAAUCAAGAUUAAAAUCAUAUUCAAAAUUAAUUAGAAAGAAUCAACUAUGCACUAGUUGUUCAGUUGAGUUUUUUCCCAUAAAAGUCAAGCUAAUGAGAAGGCAUAUAGAUAGAACAAGUGAAGGACUGACUGAUGUAAAAAUUAACCACUCCUGCUACAACCAAACACCAUUUUAGGGUGCCUGUGCAGUUGCUUUAUAAUACAGCUCAAUUCUGCUCUGUCACUUCAGAGGGGCAUUUUUUAUGUGUUUUUCUCCAUGUUGCUUUCUGGAAAUCUCAAUGUAGCACCUUUCCUCAACACAUGACCCCUCAGAGGAAGAAACAUUUUGGACAUUUAGUUGCUUCUUGGGUUCCUUGUGAUUCUCCCAUGUUUGCACAGGGAAGAGGCAGGAGGAGGAGGUGACACAAGGGCCUGUGUCCUAACACUCUUAGUGAUAACCUCACUUAAAAUGGGAUUUUAAAGUGCAUGGGAAAGGCUGUGGUUACAUUUAAACCCUUUUCCACUACCACCAUGUGUGCCCCUCCCCAGCAAACUGUGUCUGGAGUUACAUUAAAUCAGCAAUAAAUUCACCUUCUUUGCUCAUUUUUGAGCCUCAUCCUACUCCUCAAGAAGAAUUGUGCAGGCAAAACAGCCUGGUGGCAGACCCAGAGGCACACCAGAAAUGCUGGUGCUCUGACAUCAUGCAGGAGCUGAGGCCACAACCCAGGACAGCUCUGGUUUUUGCCAUAAUCUGCAAUUUCUCAGCAGGAAACUGUGUCCUGGCUUCUGCUUUACCACAGGUUUUGUAGGACAGCCUGAACCAACACCUUUCCAGGAUCAUGCUCAUCCUCGAGUUCACCUGUGCCCCAGGGUGGGCAGGAGCACCUCUUUUGAGUGUUGUUUCCCAAGGUUUCUGCAGCCAUCAAUUGUCAUGGCAGCACCUGCAUGUGGAGGGCACCAUUUGUUGUGUCCUGCAGGAUCCCAGCCAGGCUGUUUGUUAAGUAAAUCACCAUGGCACCAGACAAAUGGCUUUCAGGGAAAAGCACCUAGUAGCUGGCAUGCACUUCAGCUCAACCAUUUUGACAUUGGCUAUUACUGUGGGUUCAGACUGAAAGAAAUCCAAUUUUUCAUGGAAAGGAAAUCCUAAAAAUAUUUAGUAUGGCCCAUAAUUAAAUAUUCAUUAGGUUCAAACAAGGCCCACUUAUGCUGAAUUGUAACUACUUUUUCAGUUAGAGAUAGGUUAACAAAGGGAAGAAGGAAAGAAGAAAUUGUGGAUGUGUAUUUUGGGCAAACAAAUAGAGUAUUUUAGUCCAAAAAAUGCUAUACAACCCAUCCACCCCCAACAAGGUCUGAAACUUAUAUCUGCCACAUGCUUUUAUUUUGACAAAUUACCAUUUUCUAGGAGAGGGUCAGCCACCAGCUGUGCUCGCAUAAGGCGGAACUGUAUUUAUAGGACCCACUGCCCAGAAAUAAUUGCUACAUUGGUACCCAGCAUUGAAAUAAGCAAAAGGCAGAAAAUCAGAGGUGAAAAAUAGCAAAAGAGGAAACACUAGAUCAAGUAAAUCUGUUACAACACUCAGAUUCAAGUAGUCUGUGUCUUGGGUCAGGCAAAUAAUAAUUUAAACUUCUAGCUCACAAAAGGACUCAGGGUGUCAGAUAAUUAAGCCUUUAUGCAAAAAGCCAUUGAUUUCUGACCUGGGCAGUGAUUUCUUUUGCACUGGAAGGGGUUGAAACAGCAAACCAGAUUAUGGACAGCAAAUAAUUGCAAAUAAAUAAUGUUGCACCAGCAUCAUUAUCAUGUACUCGUGUCCCCUGAGACACAACAAGGACAGGUAUGUCUAAAGGCCCACACAGGUAGUACAAAUCACUGUACACAGGCAAGUUGUCCAGAUGUCUUUUGAAAAAAUCUACCAGACUCUAAGGGAAAAGGAUGGCUUUAUUUCUCAAGGUGUUACUUCUCUGUCUUCAUUAACCAGCCUGCCAGAAUUGCUGCCGUCUCCACAGGCUGCACAUCCACGGGCCUAGACCCACUGGCUCUAGAAUUUAAUGCAAAGCAUGCUUUCAGCAUAUUUCUGUGGUCCUGAAGAAAAGUUGCCUGCCUUCUGUUCUUUGAACAAAUGGAAUUGUUCAUACUUCCAGAAUAUCGAGUAUUUAUUUCAUAACAGUGCCGUAUUACAGUGAUGUAUGCUUACAAUAAAAAAAAUGCUGAAGUGA
Taeniopygia guttata (zebra finch) is the source of this 14296-nucleotide non-coding RNA. The record is from RefSeq and is a predicted model, not a curated record. Lineage: Eukaryota; Metazoa; Chordata; Aves; Passeriformes; Estrildidae.